This 460-nucleotide ribosomal RNA is filed under the name uncultured bacterium. RNAcentral describes it as "partial 16S ribosomal RNA". It matches the Rfam family "Bacterial small subunit ribosomal RNA", at positions 338 to 795 of the family's 1533-position model. The record is from RNAcentral.
CCUACGGGCGGCAGCAGUGAGGAAUAUUGGUCAAUGGGCUUACGCCUGAACCAGCCAAGUCGCGUGAGGGAAGACUGCCCUAUGGGUUGUAAACCUCUUUUGUUAGGGAGCAAUUGGCGCUACGUGUAGCGUUAUCUAGAGUACCUGAAGAAAAAGCAUCGGCUAACUCCGUGCCAGCAGCCGCGGUAAGACGGAGGAUGCGAGCGUUAUCCGGAUUGAUUGGGUUUAAAGGGUACGUAGGCGGAAUGCCAAGUCAGCGGUAAAAUCGCGGGGCUCAACCUCGCUCCGCCGUUGACACUGGCGUUCUUGAGUGGGCGAGAAGUAUGUGGAAUGCGUGGUGUAGCGGUGAAAUGCAUAGAUAUCACGCAGAACUCCGAUUGCGAAGGCAGCAUACCGGCGCCCAACUGACGCUGAAGCACGAAAGCGUGGGUAUCGAACAGGAUUAGAUACCCCAGUAGUC